This 253-nucleotide ribosomal RNA is filed under the name uncultured bacterium. RNAcentral's name for it is "partial 16S ribosomal RNA". It matches the Rfam family "Bacterial small subunit ribosomal RNA", at positions 57 to 305 of the family's 1533-position model. The record is from RNAcentral.
GCAAGUCGAGGGGUAACAGGGAGAAGCUUGCUUUUCCGCUGACGACCGGCGCACGGGGGCGUAACGCGUAUACAAUCUACCUUAUACUGGGGUAUAGCCUUUAGAAAUGAAGAUUAAUCCCCCAUAGUCUCUUAGAGAGGCCUCAUUUUAGGAGUAAAGGUUACGGUAUAAGAUGAGUAUGCGUUCUAUUAGUUUGUUGGUGGGGUAACGGCUCACCAAGGCGACGAUGGAUAGGCGCCCUGAGAGGGGGAUC